RNAcentral lists this small RNA (39 nucleotides) under Arabidopsis thaliana (thale cress). Its description in RNAcentral is "ATSL260310". Lineage: Eukaryota; Viridiplantae; Streptophyta; Magnoliopsida; Brassicales; Brassicaceae. The record is from RNAcentral.
CAUAAUGGCAUUCUCUAAGAUGACUUUCCCUGAGCAAAG